Long non-coding RNA from Pteropus alecto (black flying fox), 3539 nucleotides. RefSeq lists it as uncharacterized. NCBI's taxonomy places the organism in Eukaryota, Metazoa, Chordata, Mammalia, Chiroptera, Pteropodidae. The record is from RefSeq and is a predicted model, not a curated record. The transcript is spliced from 2 exons.
AAUCUCUUACUGCACCUAAUUUAUAAACUCUAUCAUAGGCAUGUAUAUAUAGGAAAAACAGUACCUACAGAGUUCCGUAUUAACUCAUUUCAGGCGUCCACUGGGGGUCUCGGAAUGCAUCCCCUGUGGAUCAGGGGGGACAGUGUAAUGUCCUUGAACUGAAGAAAAACUCAAGGGUACAGAGUGAAAAAAACUUCUCACUCACCUCCUAUUCUGGUGAGGGUGGAAGAGGGUGAUACACGUAUACCAACACUUAGACGUAUUCUGGUGAGAGUUCAGAAUGCCAGAGUUAAGAAGAAAAACCCUAAAACCUUGUAGAGAGAAAACGAGUUUCUUGUGUGGAAAUGAGGGCUAAAUUGGCAUCAGAUCGGUCUAAAGCAACGCUGACCCAGAACUCACAAGGAAACAUUAUUUUGACCUAGAAUCCUAUGUCCAAUCAAACAAAUAAGGUGCCAACAAAAUAAAAAUUGAGCACUCGCAAGAUCUAUCUCUUCGUAUACCAUUUCUGGAAAAAAAAAAAAAAUCGAGCAUGUAUUCUUCCCAAACUCAGAAGAAAUCUAGGGAAGAGGAGGCAUGAAUCCAGGACCCAAGGGGCCUCACCCAGGAGCUCAUUGAAAAGAAGCCACAGGGUGUCACGUGUGUCCCAGUCCCGGAAAGCUGUCAGUUCAAAUUAAAACGGAAAAAUGAAAGGGCUCCAGGAAGCAUAUCUUUCAAAGGAAAAUAGAUUUCAUUACACACAUUGUUCUAGUUCAGAACCCGGAAGUACUUAAUGAGAACAGGAGGACAUUUCAAGAGCUCCAUAUAAACACCCACACAACAAAAUCACAAACUGUGGCGAAAACGGACGCUGCGUGAGAUUCAGAUAGGAAGCUAACUGAGACGUGCCGCGAUUCUCAGCUCUGUAUAGAAUGUGGAAGACUGUUCUAUUUGAUCAUGACACUGGUUGAAUGACACAGGAUAACUUUCCCUUUUCUAUGGGUUCAGUCACAUUACUUGUUUGUGCGAUGAACCUACAAGGCCCCAACGCCUUAAUUAUAGUUCUUGAACAGAAUGGGAACGUAAGAACAAUGCAGAUGUGAACAGAAAUAGGGAAAGGAGAAGACAAGCAGAAAAACCUAAUGUCUGCACCUUACUACAGAGUGGCCUCCGGGAGGCCCCCAAAGGAAACGCGGUUACCCCUGGGGAGGGGGCUUUGGAGAGGGACAAAGGCAAAGAGGAAGGAGGAGAUGCUAUACCUCCGCCUCUGGCUUCAGCGGCAAAGGUGGCUUUGGUAGGACACUUGGAGAAGCCAGAGCCUCAGCUGCCACUGCCCGUCUUGAGACCCACGGCCACAGGUCCCAGAUUCCACCUGCCUCGGCUCUUACUGUUUCUGGUCCUUGUAAGUAAUUAUCCCGUUUCUGAGUCACACUCUAUCUUCUUUAUUUUCUCUGCGCAUGUGUUGUUUGGCAUUGCUUAAUGUUUGCGGCAGACGAAGUGCAUCUUGCUGUACUGUCUUGAUGGGAAACCAUGGUACUCCUUUCGGAAUUUAAAAAUUGGAAUCGUAAAACCGCAAAUUCAUUCCUCUCUCCUUGUAGGAUCUAGUCUGCAUUAUACCAGUGGUGAGUAGUUAUUAUUGUUCGGACACGUGCCAAAACAGAACCGGUCUUUCAUAUCAACAUAGCAUCCUUUUUCCGAACUCCGAGAUGUCGUUAUUCCAUGGGAGAAACUGAGGCACGAGAAAGGAAACCGUAGACGUUCAAGUCGUUCCCCUGCCCGUCCGACCCCCGCUUCCCUGCCCUCUGAGGGGCGUGUUCAACCACGACAGCGUUCAGAGAUGCCAACCCAUCGUCUCCACGUGCGGUAUUUUAAUAGCCAUCCCCAUCAGCACAUUUGUCCUUACAGGUCACCCGAAGUCCUUCCCGCUUCCCUUUUUCCUUCUCUUGGUCCUUAGUGGAGAGGAACAGCCGGCCAUCUUCUGGAUCCUCUUCCUCCUCCUCUGUGUCCUUUACGUGGCAGGACAUCCUUAUUUAGUCACCCUCCAGCCAUUUCUUUCCCUGGCUGACUCAUGUCCAUUCCUUAAAGAUCCUCGUGGGUCUUAUCGUUUCGAGCGGUUAGUCAUCCUGGUGGCAUUUCUUUGAAAUCUUCCCAAGUGCUCUCUCUAAGCCUCAAAGGUCAGAAUGGGAAGGCUGCUCCGGUAAGCGGACCCCCAAUUAUUGGCUGGGCACAGGAUCAGCCAGAAUGAAGAUUAUUUUCUAGUCUCCCCUGUAGCUCGCUGUGACUGAGACCAAGUUCUGGCCAUUGGAAUGUUAAUGGAAGCGUUGGAUGCAACUGGCAAAUAUUUUUAAAGGCUAAGGGCACACCCAUCCCCCUCCCCCACCCCCAUCGCCUGCAAAAGGAGCGCAGAGGUUGGGGUCAGCCACCUUCCAGGACUGUGGGACAUCUCGGUAAGGAGGGAGAGUCAGUGACAACUCGGAACCAGAUCAUCGCAUAUCCCCUUGAACAGCCCUGGGCUGCCUACCUUCUGGCUCAUUUUACGUGGGAGAGAAAUUCAUUUCUGUGUUUCUCAACUGCCGGUUUGUGCGUGAGGGGAGGGGUGUUUGUUUAUUUCAUGCGUCUCAACCUAAUGCUCACGGAUUCAGUAGCCCUCAGACUGCGUUUCUGUGUGUUUCAUUUUACUCGUGUAGGAUGAUAUGGACAGGAAAUAACAGACAGCUGCUGGUGCUUUCAUGCCCGCUGCGCUGAGUGGCUCAGGUAUACGAGAUGCUCACUAGAGAUCGGAUAUUUUUGAUGCGUUGUCUCAUGUAGUCCUGACAUAAACCUAUGAUGCUGCUACUAUUUUCAUUUUAAACGAGAGGGAACUGACACUCAGCGGUUAGGUGCCCACGUUCCAAGUCACACGAUUGGUCGAUGGCAGAUGCGAGAUUUGCGUCUGGACAGCCUGGCCCCGGAGCCCACCCUCUUGAUACUCUUUUUCGAAUGCUGAUUCUGUUCCUCAAGGACCUACCAAAAAGGUGUUCGUAGUAGCUACCAUUGACCGAGUCCCCGCUAUGUGCAGGUACCGUGAAUAUACAGAAAGAAAAUUCUAGAAAGGCUGGACCAAACCGGGCAUGGGAGAAGCAGAGUAAGCCCGCUGCCUGGGGCUUGAAUCGCACGCUGGCAAUUCACGUGUUCAGAGCCCCUUCCGAUGGCGCUGUUUAGUAUCAUUUUCUCCUGUUUCCACUCAUGCGUUUUGAAGUCGUAAUUGAUGGAUGAAUUCUUUUUGAAGUUCAGUAAUCCAGGACUCUUUUUGUGUGCUUUUGUCUAAAUUAUUCCCUUAAAGCUUCAUCCGGACUUUCGCCUUGUUUUAUGUUGAGAAUUUUGGUACCAUAAACAUCGUAGUCAUCAUAUGACUACAGUAAUUCUGGAAAAUAGUUACUCUGAGGUACAUCUUGUCCCACUGACUCACAUCCAAACUCAUUACGAGACAAAAAAUAUAAGGUAUAAUAAAAAUACAGGAACACCGACUAUUAACCUGGAGAUACUAGACAUGAAUCAAGCUACAAAUAAAGUCAAAUAAAACA